This 1346-nucleotide ribosomal RNA is filed under the name uncultured bacterium. RNAcentral's name for it is "partial 16S ribosomal RNA". It matches the Rfam family "Bacterial small subunit ribosomal RNA", at positions 28 to 1381 of the family's 1533-position model. The record is from RNAcentral.
GACGAACGCUGGCGGCGUGCUUAACACAUGCAAGUCGAACGGAAAGGCCCUGCUUUUGUGGGGUGCUCGAGUGGCGAACGGGUGAGUAACACGUGAGUAACCUGCCCUUGACUUUGGGAUAACUUCAGGAAACUGGGGCUAAUACCGGAUAGGAGCUCCUGCUGCAUGGUGGGGGUUGGAAAGUUUCGGCGGUUGGGGAUGGACUCGCGGCUUAUCAGCUUGUUGGUGGGGUAGUGGCUUACCAAGGCUUUGACGGGUAGCCGGCCUGAGAGGGUGACCGGCCACAUUGGGACUGAGAUACGGCCCAGACUCCUACGGGAGGCAGCAGUGGGGAAUAUUGCACAAUGGGCGGAAGCCUGAUGCAGCAACGCCGCGUGCGGGAUGACGGCCUUCGGGUUGUAAACCGCUUUCGCCUGUGACGAAGCGUGAGUGACGGUAAUGGGUAAAGAAGCACCGGCUAACUACGUGCCAGCAGCCGCGGUGAUACGUAGGGUGCGAGCGUUGUCCGGAUUUAUUGGGCGUAAAGGGCUCGUAGGUGGUUGAUCGCGUCGGAAGUGUAAUCUUGGGGCUUAACCCUGAGCGUGCUUUCGAUACGGGUUGACUUGAGGAAGGUAGGGGAGAAUGGAAUUCCUGGUGGAGCGGUGGAAUGCGCAGAUAUCAGGAGGAACACCAGUGGCGAAGGCGGUUCUUUGGGCCUUUCCUGACGCUGAGGAGCGAAAGCGUGGGGAGCGAACAGGCUUAGAUACCCUGGUAGUCCACGCUGUAAACGGUGGGUACUAGGUGUGGGGUCCAUUCCACGGGUUCCGUGCCGUAGCUAACGCUUUAAGUACCCCGCCUGGGGAGUACGGCCGCAAGGCUAAAACUCAAAGGAAUUGACGGGGCCCCGCACAAGCGGCGGAGCAUGCGGAUUAAUUCGAUGCAACGCGUAGAACCUUACCUGGGUUUGUCAUGGAUCGGGAGUGCUCAGAGAUGGGUGUGCCUCUUUUGGGGUCGGUUCACAGGUGGUGCAUGCCUGUCGUCAGCUCGUGUCGUGAGAUGUUGGGUUAAGUCCCGCAACGAGCGCAACCCUUGUUCACUGUUGCCAGCACGUUAUGGUGGGGACUCAGUGGAGACCGCCGGGGUCAACUCGGAGGAAGGUGGGGAUGACGUCAAGUCAUCAUGCCCCUUAUGUCCAGGGCUUCACGCAUGCUACAAUGGCUGGUACAGAGAGUGGCGAGCCUGUGAGGGUGAGCGAAUCUCGGAAAGCCGGUCUCAGUUCGGAUUAGGGUCUGCAACUCGACCUCAUGAAGUCGGAGUCGCUAGUAAUCGCAGAUCAGCAACGCUGCGGUGAAUACGUUCCCGGGGCU